UCCUACGGGGGGCAGCAGUGGGGAAUAUUGGACAAUGGGCGCAAGCCUGAUCCAGCCAUGCCGCGUGUGUGAAGAAGGCCUUCGGGUUGUAAAGCACUUUCAGUAGGGAGGAAGAGUUGAGUGUUAAUAGUACUCAGCUUUGACGUUACCUACAGAAGAAGCACCGGCUAACUCUGUGCCAGCAGCCGCGGUAAUACAGAGGGUGCAAGCGUUAAUCGGAAUUACUGGGCGUAAAGCGCACGCAGGCGGUUGGUUAAGUCAGAUGUGAAAGCCCCGGGCUCAACCUGGGAAUUGCAUUUGAAACUGGCCAACUAGAGUACGUGAGAGGGGGGUAGAAUUCCAAGUGUAGCGGUGAAAUGCGUAGAGAUUUGGAGGAAUACCAGUGGCGAAGGCGGCCCCCUGGCACGAUACUGACGCUCAGGUGCGAAAGCGUGGGGAGCAAACAGGAUUAGAUACCCCAGUAGUCCU
RNAcentral lists this ribosomal RNA (468 nucleotides) under Pseudomonas sp. DCB_PUT. RNAcentral's name for it is "bacterial SSU rRNA". It matches the Rfam family "Bacterial small subunit ribosomal RNA", at positions 337 to 797 of the family's 1533-position model. Lineage: Bacteria; Pseudomonadati; Pseudomonadota; Gammaproteobacteria; Pseudomonadales; Pseudomonadaceae. The record is from RNAcentral.